UAGCAGGAUUCCAAGAGCUGCAGCUCAUUGUGGCCAAAGGACCUCCUAAUGCAUGCAAGAACAAUCCAGAGAGAUUCUGACAGCUUGGGUCAAAUCAUAUCUGCUGCUACAAUGUGCCUAAUAAUG
This is a small nucleolar RNA of Fukomys damarensis (Damara mole-rat), 126 nucleotides long. Lineage: Eukaryota; Metazoa; Chordata; Mammalia; Rodentia; Bathyergidae. The record is from Ensembl.